This 332-nucleotide ribosomal RNA is filed under the name Staphylococcus aureus. RNAcentral's name for it is "partial 23S ribosomal RNA". It matches the Rfam family "Bacterial large subunit ribosomal RNA", at positions 513 to 848 of the family's 2925-position model. Lineage: Bacteria; Bacillati; Bacillota; Bacilli; Caryophanales; Staphylococcaceae. The record is from RNAcentral.
GGUGAAAAGCACCCCGGAAGGGGAGUGAAAUAGAACCUGAAACCGUGUGCUUACAAGUAGUCAGAGCCCGUUAAUGGGUGAUGGCGUGCCUUUUGUAGAAUGAACCGGCGAGUUACGAUUUGAUGCAAGGUUAAGCAGUAAAUGUGGAGCCGUAGCGAAAGCGAGUCUGAAUAGGGCGUUUAGUAUUUGGUCGUAGACCCGAAACCAGGUGAUCUACCCUUGGUCAGGUUGAAGUUCAGGUAACACUGAAUGGAGGACCGAACCGACUUACGUUGAAAAGUGAGCGGAUGAACUGAGGGUAGCGGAGAAAUUCCAAUCGAACCUGGAGAUAG